AUGUACACCAUCACCUUGGGCAUGCUUGUGCCGCUGCUGCUCGGCCUCAACAUGUCUUGGAGUGCCAUUAGCGCCGCCCUCACGCUCAUCUUCCUCAUCUUCAAGGACGCUCGCCCCUGCCUCGAGAAGCUGUGGGUUAAUGUUGGUGGUUUUGUUCUACUUGGAUGCAUUGGUACCCAUCAUCGAGCGAACGGAUGCAACAGCGGCAAGAAGCUCAUGGCUGUGUGCAUCUAA
This 234-nucleotide ribosomal RNA is filed under the name Triticum aestivum (bread wheat). RNAcentral describes it as "partial small subunit ribosomal RNA". Lineage: Eukaryota; Viridiplantae; Streptophyta; Magnoliopsida; Poales; Poaceae. The record is from RNAcentral.